GUGCCAGCAGCCGCGGUAAUACGGGGGGUGCGAGCGUUGUCCGGAAUCACUGGGCGUAAAGGGCGCGUAGGUGGUCUUGUAAGUCUGCGGUGAAAGCCCGGGGCUCAACCCCGGGUCUGCCGCGGAUACUGUGAGACUUGAGUGCUGUAGAGGCUGGUAGAAUGCCGGGUGUAGCGGUGGAAUGCGUAGAGAUCCGGCAGAAGACCGGUGGCGAAGGCGGCCAGCUGGGCAGCAACUGACACUGAGGCGCGACAGCGUGGGGAGCAAACAGGAUUAGAUACUCCGGUAGUCC
Molecule: ribosomal RNA, 292 nt
Filed under: uncultured bacterium
Lineage: Bacteria
Description: partial 16S ribosomal RNA
Rfam family: Bacterial small subunit ribosomal RNA
Source: RNAcentral